Molecule: ribosomal RNA, 465 nt
Filed under: uncultured bacterium
Lineage: Bacteria
Description: partial 16S ribosomal RNA
Rfam family: Bacterial small subunit ribosomal RNA
Source: RNAcentral
GAUGAACGCUGGCGGCGUGCUUAACACAUGCAAGUCGAACGGAAAGGCCCAAGCUUGCUUGGGUACUCGAGUGGCGAACGGGUGAGUAACACGUGGGUGAUCUGCCCUGCACUUCGGGAUAAGCCUGGGAAACUGGGUCUAAUACCGGAUAGGACCACAUUUUGGAUGGUGUGGUGGAAAGUUUUUCGGUGUGGGAUGAGCUCGCGGCCUAUCAGCUUGUUGGUGGGGUAAUGGCCUACCAAGGCGUCGACGGGUAGCCGGCCUGAGAGGGUGUACGGCCACAUUGGGACUGAGAUACGGCGCAGACUCCUACGGGAGGCAGCAGUGGGGAAUAUUGCACAAUGGGCGCAAGCCUGAUGCAGCGACGCCGCGUGGGGGAUGACGGCCUUCGGGUUGUAAACUCCUUUCGCUAGGGACGAAGCGCAAGUGACGGUACCUGGAGAAGAAGCACCGGCUAACUACGUG